GGGUUGUGAGGUUAAGCGACUAAGCGUACACGGUGGAUGCCCUGGCAGUCAGAGGCGAUGAAGGGCGUGCUAAUCUGCGAUAAGCGCCGGUAAGGUGAUAUGAACCGUUAUAACCGGCGAUACCCGAAUGGGGAAACCCAGUGUGACUCGUCACACUAUCAUUAACUGAAUCCAUAGGUUAAUGAGGCGAACCGGGGGAACUGAAACAUCUAAGUACCCCGAGGAAAAGAAAUCAACCGAGAUUCCCCCAGUAGCGGCGAGCGAACGGGGAGGAGCCCAGAGCCUGAAUCAGCAUGUGUGUUAGUGGAAGCGUCUGGAAAGGCGCGCGAUACAGGGUGACAGCCCCGUACACAAAAGCGCAUGUGCUGUGAGCUCGAUGAGUAGGGCGGGACACGUGGUAUCCUGUCUGAAUAUGGGGGGACCAUCCUCCAAGGCUAAAUACUCCUGACUGACCGAUAGUGAACCAGUACCGUGAGGGAAAGGCGAAAAGAACCCCGGCGAGGGGAGUGAAAAAGAACCUGAAACCGUGUACGUACAAGCAGUGGGAGCCUCUUUUAUGGGGUGACUGCGUACCUUUUGUAUAAUGGGUCAGCGACUUAUAUUCUGUAGCAAGGUUAACCGAAUAGGGGAGCCGGAGGGAAACCGAGUCUUAACCGGGCGUUAAGUUGCAGGGUAUAGACCCGAAACCCGGUGAUCUAGCCAUGGGCAGGUUGAAGGUUGGGUAACACUAACUGGAGGACCGAACCGACUAAUGUUGAAAAAUUAGCGGAUGACCUGUGGCUGGGGGUGAAAGGCCAAUCAAACCGGGAGAUAGCUGGUUCUCCCCGAAAGCUAUUUAGGUAGCGCCUCGUGAAUUCAUCUCCGGGGGUAGAGCACUGUUUCGGCUAGGGGGCCAUCCCGGCUUACCAACCCGAUGCAAACUGCGAAUACCGGAGAAUGUUAUCACGGGAGACACACGGCGGGUGCUAACGUCCGUCGUGAAGAGGGAAACAACCCAGACCGCCAGCUAAGGUCCCAAAGUCAUGGUUAAGUGGGAAACGAUGUGGGAAGGCCCAGACAGCCAGGAUGUUGGCUUAGAAGCAGCCAUCAUUUAAAGAAAGCGUAAUAGCUCACUGGUCGAGUCGGCCUGCGCGGAAGAUGUAACGGGGCUAAACCAUGCACCGAAGCUGCGGCAGCGACACUAUGUGUUGUUGGGUAGGGGAGCGUUCUGUAAGCCUGUGAAGGUGGCCUGUGAGGGUUGCUGGAGGUAUCAGAAGUGCGAAUGCUGACAUAAGUAACGAUAAAGCGGGUGAAAAGCCCGCUCGCCGGAAGACCAAGGGUUCCUGUCCAACGUUAAUCGGGGCAGGGUGAGUCGACCCCUAAGGCGAGGCCGAAAGGCGUAGUCGAUGGGAAACGGGUUAAUAUUCCCGUACUUGGUGUUACUGCGAAGGGGGGACGGAGAAGGCUAUGUUGGCCGGGCGACGGUUGUCCCGGUUUAAGCGUGUAGGUGUGUGUUCCAGGUAAAUCCGGUUCACUUUAACACUGAGGCGUGACGACGAGGCACUACGGUGCUGAAGCAACAAAUGCCCUGCUUCCAGGAAAAGCCUCUAAGCAUCAGGUAACAUCAAAUCGUACCCCAAACCGACACAGGUGGUCAGGUAGAGAAUACCAAGGCGCUUGAGAGAACUCGGGUGAAGGAACUAGGCAAAAUGGUGCCGUAACUUCGGGAGAAGGCACGCUGACACGUAGGUGAAGUGAUUUACUCACGGAGCUGAAGUCAGUCGAAGAUACCAGCUGGCUGCAACUGUUUAUUAAAAACACAGCACUGUGCAAACACGAAAGUGGACGUAUACGGUGUGACGCCUGCCCGGUGCCGGAAGGUUAAUUGAUGGGGUCAGCGCAAGCGAAGCUCCUGAUCGAAGCCCCGGUAAACGGCGGCCGUAACUAUAACGGUCCUAAGGUAGCGAAAUUCCUUGUCGGGUAAGUUCCGACCUGCACGAAUGGCGUAAUGAUGGCCAGGCUGUCUCCACCCGAGACUCAGUGAAAUUGAACUCGCUGUGAAGAUGCAGUGUACCCGCGGCAAGACGGAAAGACCCCGUGAACCUUUACUAUAGCUUGACACUGAACAUUGAGCCUUGAUGUGUAGGAUAGGUGGGAGGCUUUGAAGUGUGGACGCCAGUCUGCAUGGAGCCGGCCUUGAAAUACCACCCUUUAAUGUUUGAUGUUCUAACGUGGACCCGUAAUCCGGGUUGCGGACAGUGUCUGGUGGGUAGUUUGACUGGGGCGGUCUCCUCCUAAAGAGUAACGGAGGAGCACGAAGGUUGGCUAAUCCUGGUCGGACAUCAGGAGGUUAGUGCAAUGGCAUAAGCCAGCUUGACUGCGAGCGUGACGGCGCGAGCAGGUGCGAAAGCAGGUCAUAGUGAUCCGGUGGUUCUGAAUGGAAGGGCCAUCGCUCAACGGAUAAAAGGUACUCCGGGGAGUAACAAGGCUGAUACCGCCCAAGAGUUCAUAUCGACGGCGGUGUUUGGCACCUCGAUGUCGGCUCAUCACAUCCUGGGGCUGAAGUAGGUCCCAAGGGUAUGGCUGUUCGCCAUUUAAAGUGGUACGCGAGCUGGGUUUAGAACGUCGUGAGACAGUUCGGUCCCUAUCUGCCGUGGGCGCUGGAGAACUGAGGGGGGCUGCUCCUAGUACGAGAGGACCGGAGUGGACGCAUCACUGGUGUUCGGGUUGUCAUGCCAAUGGCACUGCCCGGUAGCUAAAUGCGGAAGAGAUAAGUGCUGAAAGCAUCUAAGCACGAAACUUGCCCCGAGAUGAGUUCUCCCUGAGACUACGAGUCUCCUGAAGGAACGUUGAAGACGACGACGUUGAUAGGCCGGGUGUGUAAGCGCAGCGAUGCGUUGAGCUAACCGGUACUAAUGAACCGUGAGGCUUAACCUUACAACGCCGAAG
This 2928-nucleotide ribosomal RNA is filed under the name Salmonella enterica subsp. enterica serovar Mikawasima. RNAcentral's name for it is "23S ribosomal RNA". It matches the Rfam family "Bacterial large subunit ribosomal RNA". The record is from RNAcentral. Lineage: Bacteria; Pseudomonadati; Pseudomonadota; Gammaproteobacteria; Enterobacterales; Enterobacteriaceae.